UGAAGCAACAAAUGCCCUGCUUCCAGGAAAAGCCUCUAAGCAUCAGGUAACAUCAAAUCGUACCCCAAACCGACACAGGUGGUCAGGUAGAGAAUACCAAGGCGCUUGAGAGAACUCGGGUGAAGGAACUAGGCAAAAUGGUGCCGUAACUUCGGGAGAAGGCACGCUGAUAUGUAGGUGAAGCGACUUGCUCGUGGAGCUGAAAUCAGUCGAAGAUACCAGCUGGCUGCAACUGUUUAUUAAAAACACAGCACUGUGCAAACACGAAAGUGGACGUAUACGGUGUGACGCCUGCCCGGUGCCGGAAGGUUAAUUGAUGGGGUCAGCGCAAGCAAAGCUCUUGAUCGAAGCCCCGGUAAACGGCGGCCGUAACUAUAACGGUCCUAAGGUAGCGAAAUUCCUUGUCGGGUAAGUUCCGACCUGCACGAAUGGCGUAAUGAUGGCCAGGCUGUCUCCACCCGAGACUCAGUGAAAUUGAACUCGCUGUGAAGAUGCAGUGUACCCGCGGCAAGACGGAAAGACCCCGUGAACCUUUACUAUAGCUUGACACUGAACAUUGAGCCUUGAUGUGUAGGAUAGGUGGGAGGCUUUGAAGUGUGGACGCCAGUCUGCAUGGAGCCGACCUUGAAAUACCACCCUUUAAUGUUUGAUGUUCUAACGUUGACCCGUGAUCCGGGUUGCGGACAGUGUCUGGUGGGUAGUUUGACUGGGGCGGUCUCCUCCUAAAGAGUAACGGAGGAGCACGAAGGUUGGCUAAUCCUGGUCGGACAUCAGGAGGUUAGUGCAAUGGCAUAAGCCAGCUUGACUGCGAGCGUGACGGCGCGAGCAGGUGCGAAAGCAGGUCAUAGUGAUCCGGUGGUUCUGAAUGGAAGGGCCAUCGCUCAACGGAUAAAAGGUACUCCGGGGAUAACAGGCUGAUACCGCCCAAGAGUUCAUAUCGACGGCGGUGUUUGGCACCUCGAUGUCGGCUCAUCACAUCCUGGGGCUGAAGUAGGUCCCAAGGGUAUGGCUGUUCGCCAUUUAAAGUGGUACGCGAGCUGGGUUUAGAACGUCGUGAGACAGUUCGGUCCCUAUCUGCCGUGGGCGCUGGAGAACUGAGGGGGGCUGCUCCUAGUACGAGAGGACCGGAGUGGACGCAUCACUGGUGUUCGGGUUGUCAUGCCAAUGGCACUGCCCGGUAGCUAAAUGCGGAAGAGAUAAGUGCUGAAAGCAUCUAAGCACGAAACUUGCCCCGAGAUGAGUUCUCCCUGACUCCUUGAGAGUCCUGAAGGAACGUUGAAGACGACGACGUUGAUAGGCCGGGUGUGUAAGCGCAGCGAUGCGUUGAGCUAACCGGUACUAAUGAACCGUGAGG
RNAcentral lists this ribosomal RNA (1354 nucleotides) under Escherichia coli. RNAcentral describes it as "partial 23S ribosomal RNA". It matches the Rfam family "Bacterial large subunit ribosomal RNA", at positions 1586 to 2916 of the family's 2925-position model. Lineage: Bacteria; Pseudomonadati; Pseudomonadota; Gammaproteobacteria; Enterobacterales; Enterobacteriaceae. The record is from RNAcentral.